This is an RNA transcript of Fragaria vesca subsp. vesca, 589 nucleotides long. RefSeq lists it as uncharacterized. NCBI's taxonomy places the organism in Eukaryota, Viridiplantae, Streptophyta, Magnoliopsida, Rosales, Rosaceae. The record is from RefSeq and is a predicted model, not a curated record. The transcript is spliced from 2 exons.
CUUUUGUUCCCUUUGUGAUCUAUGAAUACCCAAUCCCAUAUCAUCUCUUCUGCCUCUACACAUAAGCGUCGUGAGGAUACGUAUGGCUGCGAGUUUAAAGUGCAUGUCACUUACCUUGGCGAGUAUGGGUAAUCACGCAUGGGUGUUUCACCCCCAUUCUCCAUCGGUUUUGUCGUUGUUCUUGGUCUCCGCUCUGGUUCUUGGUACCAUCUCGGCAGCCAUGGUUUCAUCCAGUUUUGUGUGUCUAUGGUGAAGAGAAUUUGGAUAUUGGGUCUCCUAAGGUUUAUGAUUUGAGAUUCGUUUGGAACGGAAACAUCAUUACAAAAUCCAUGUUGUGUUGCUUCCGGCGUGAGUUCGACGACCCUCCUUCGUUGGCGGCGGCUGCUCUGGUUGCUCUACAGUUGUUGCUAGGGUUUUGUAAUGUUUUGGGCCAUUUACUGGGCCUAUGUUCUUAGUUUUAAGUUUUUAGGGGUAGUCAGCUAUUGCUAGCUCUUGUAGAGAUUAGUUGCUUGAUUACUUUCCUGAUAUUGUUAUGUACUCUAUCUUGGGUUUUUCCCCUUAAAUGAAUCACUUCAUUUACCCAAAAAAC